Molecule: ribosomal RNA, 1341 nt
Filed under: Triticum aestivum (bread wheat)
Lineage: Eukaryota; Viridiplantae; Streptophyta; Magnoliopsida; Poales; Poaceae
Description: partial small subunit ribosomal RNA
Source: RNAcentral
AUGCCGGGCAGCAUCCGAGUUUCAGCGUCGCUGCUGCGUCUCGUCAAAAAGAAAAAGAGAUCACACUGUUGUAUCUUUUGCUGUGCAGACAUUCAGCCACCCGUCGCCGCUCCACUCUUCUUGCAAGUUAACCUGGGGAAAAAAGAGUACAGCGGAUAUAUUGGACAAGAUGGCUUCUCUUUUCCAGUUACAUCACUUCGAGAUAGCAUGGUGUUGUCGCUGUACGAUGCAGAUAAGGAAUUGGUAUCCAAAACAGAAGUGAAGACACGGUCGAUUGUCGAGCUGGGGAGUACGGAUGUUGUGUUUACUCUUGAUAGUGGAGGGGAAAUUAUCCUCCAGUUGCAGUUCUUGCUUAGUGAUGAAGAUCGCAAGCGUAUCCAAGAAAUGAGGAACUCUGCGAUGAAAAGGAAGCAGCAAGAGCUGUUUGGGAAUGGCGAUGAACUUUAUUUCCAAGAGAGCAUACCACCUAAAGAGCAGGCAGAAGAGAUCUCCGACAUCCCAAACAAAGAAGACCGACUCACGCUCCGCAAGAGCAUGUCGACGGAUGAUCUGAAACGGAUGGCUGUUUUUUCCGAAAUAAGCAUUGGUACGAAUACGGCGGCUUCGAAGAAACCCCCGUUGCAAGCUUCGACGUCCGAAGGCCCCAUUGACAUGAAGGGUCUACCGCCGAGAAGUGACAUUGGCUCUAAAAGAGGGCAGGGUGAACUGGAGAGCAGGUCGAGCAGCGCGGUGAAGAAGAUGAUCAGCGCCUUCGAGAGCAGCUCUCCGCAGGGUCCGCCUUUGGUGCCAAGGAUUAAGUCGGUAGGGUCGUUGGAAGGGAUGAUGUUGGCUUCGACCAAUCCUUCAGAUUCCAAGAGGUGGUCAGGAAGGCGCGCUACGACGAUCAUCAGCAACAAGAAACCAAGCGCGUCUAGACAGGCCGAUUUGUUGAAUGCUCAGGAGAGCAGAAGACGGAGUUCCAGCAGGCGCGACAAAGCAGCCAAGACGAGCAUGGGAGAGGGUGCAGAAAAGCAAAAUCAUCAUCGUCGCUCCAUCGCUCCAAUGCAUUCGGGCGCAACAUCUAGGAUCGCCUGGGCCAGCCACCCCCACAUCUGCAUCACCACCGCAAGCAGGCAGCUGAAAGACCUCGUCGGGCUUGAGCACCUGAAUUCGAUGAAGAAUGCAGAGCAGAGUGCAAGGGAAGACGACACUGAACAAGGCACGAGCAACGACGACGCGGUGGGCUCUAAGCGGCGGCGAUCCGAUGGGUUCCCAACGCUAAAUGGGUGGCUGAUCAACCAGGGGGUACGCGGCGUGAUCGUCAUCAUAGCCUGCGGCGCGGUGUUCCUCAACAACAGGUGA